Molecule: ribosomal RNA, 208 nt
Filed under: uncultured bacterium
Lineage: Bacteria
Description: partial 16S ribosomal RNA
Rfam family: Bacterial small subunit ribosomal RNA
Source: RNAcentral
CACGCAGGCGGUUUGUUAAGUCAGAUGUGAAAUCCCCGGGCUCAACCUGGGAACUGCAUCUGAUACUGGCAAGCUUGAGUCUCGUAGAGGGGGGUAGGAAUUCCAGGUGUAGCGGUGAAAUGCGUAGAGAUCUGGAGGAAUACCGGUGGCGAAGGCGGCCCCCUCGGACGAAGACUGACGCUCAGGUGCGAAAGCGUGGGAGCAAACA